Non-coding RNA from Paramisgurnus dabryanus, 621 nucleotides. The record is from RefSeq and is a predicted model, not a curated record. Lineage: Eukaryota; Metazoa; Chordata; Actinopteri; Cypriniformes; Cobitidae.
UUACUACAAUAUAACAUUUAAACAAAAAUAUUUUACUCAAUCAAAACAUCAUCUGUUUAUCAAUAAUGUCACUCUUGAUGAGUUAGGAGUUUAUUACUGUAUGAACACAGACACAACAAGCAAACUAUUCAGUGCCACCAGAUUACACAUCACUGGUAAGUGAUUCAAUCAUGUUAACUGUAUACAUUUUAACAUAAUUACAACUAAAACGUCAACUAAACCGUUCAGUGAAUGAAGAGUGUUUGUUAUAAAAGUACAGAGCAAAUUCCAGGAAGCCAAAAUAAAAUUGAAGUGACGCAUGUUGGUCCGACUCUGACAGAAUGGAAGAUUAUUGCCAUCAUAUUUGCUGUAUUUAAUGCUGUUAUGCUCAUCGUGGUUAUAGGACUUGCAGUGGCUCUUGUUCAUGAAAGAGCCAGAAAAAGCACAAAACAAUUUGAAGAUAUCGACCCACAGGAGCUCAUGGAUUUUGAACAAGACUCAACACAAAUAAAGUAUGUUCUGGUGGACGUUCCCACACAGUUUUAGUCUGUCCAUGUCAACGGCACCUAGACAACUGCCCAAAUGAUGAAAUCCUUAACAUGAUCCUGCUUCAUUUCUUAUAUUAUUUGAUAAAGUAUAUUC